AAAAUGCAAACCAGAAACUAAAUGACAGAGUGGUUUGCAAGGCUCAAUCCUGCCAUAUAUGACAACGUGGAUGAACCUGGAGGACUUUCUGAUGGGUGAAAUAAACCAGUCCCAGAAGGACAAAUACUGCAUGAUUCCACUUAUAAGAGACCCUGCGAUGUAAUAUUAAAAAGAUUCCUGAGCUCCAGCACAGAACAGGUUACAUCGUGCUUCCUCUCCCACACGAUCGAGAUCUUCAAAGUAAGCAUCUUUCAAAGGAGCGACAAGCAAAAUACAGCAGCAGGAUCAGUAACUCCCUGUGAAGCAGCUUUGCCUGCUGUCAUUGUUGACUGCUGGAGGUGCUGAUCCAUGUCAGUCACUAAAACGACACCUUGGCAAGACGGCAGUCUG
Molecule: long non-coding RNA, 390 nt
Filed under: Equus asinus (donkey)
Lineage: Eukaryota; Metazoa; Chordata; Mammalia; Perissodactyla; Equidae
Description: lncRNA (ENSEASG00005034955.1)
Source: RNAcentral